GUCCCGGUAAAAGCUGACACUGUAGCUAAUUCUUUUAAUUAGGUUGUCCCAUCUUGGGUCAGUGGGCUAGACGGCUUUGAAGUUUGCUUUGCCUAAUUGCACAUGAGUGUUUUGGACAGAAAGCCUGCUGUUAGUGGGCUGGGAGGGCUCGAGGAGGGUUCAGGCAAGUGUCUGCCCAACCGCUCCACCUGUAGGAAGGUGGAGGAAAAUCCUUGGGGCUUCUCAAAAGGCUGAAAUCCUUCGGGUUUUUUUUUUUUUUUUUUUUUUUUUUUUUUUUUUUUUUUUUUUUUUUUUUCCAGGAAGGGCUUGUUGUGGCUAUUGCACAGCUGGGCAGGCCUUCCUGUGUACUUCUUCUUUCCUCUGACUGAUGCCAGCCAGUAGCCACGGCUGGCUGGUAGCUACUGCAUCUGCACCGACUUGAGUGGCCCCUCUUGAUGGAGAGGUUGAUAGACUCUGAGGACAGGAAGGAGAAACCUGCAGAGUCAUCACGUUCUGCAGCAGCUGAAGCCACAACUGCCUGCAAGACACAGAAGAGUGGAGUUGGGGGGGUUGACUUCCUGAAGCAGCCUUGCCGGUGCUGUGGAGAGCAAGAGAAAUCACAGGGAGUGCCUCCUUGUGUCCAGCUGAGGUCCUGGAAUAGAAACAGAGACGGGUUUGAAGCUGUCUGCAGGAAGAAAUAGGAGGAUAAAGAGGAUAAUAACCGUACCAGCUUCACCAACCCAUGGAGAGAACAGCUGAAGGGAGCAUGUGAAAUUGCUAUGAUGAAUAGCAGAAGAGGGGAAGGUUUCUUGCAGUGAGAGAGAUCUGAGCAGCACUUCAGACCAGGAGACAAACUGAGAAAAACCUUUUUUGGAUGUAGCUAGGUAGGUUGCUUGAAUCAUAUUAGAAG
This 889-nucleotide long non-coding RNA is filed under the name Anas platyrhynchos (mallard). RNAcentral describes it as "lncRNA (ENSAPLG00020006309.1)". The record is from RNAcentral. Lineage: Eukaryota; Metazoa; Chordata; Aves; Anseriformes; Anatidae.